UAAGGAAUAUUGGUCAAUGGACGGAAGUCUGAACCAGCCAUCCCGCGUGCAGGAUGAAGAUUCUAUGGAUUGUAAACUGCUUUUAGCAUAGAAGAAACGCUUUCAUUAAUGAGAGUCUGACGGUAUAUGCAGAAUAAGCACCGGCUAACUCCGUGCCAGCAGCCGCGGUAAUACGGGGGGUGCAAGCGUUAUCCGGAAUUACUGGGUUUAAAGGGUGCGUAGGCUGAUGGGUAAGUCAGUGGUGAAAAGCUAUCGCUUAACGAUAGUCUUGCCAUUGAUACUGCUUAUCUUGAAUUGGGUUGAGGUUAGCGGAAUGUGACAUGUAGCGGUGAAAUGCAUAGAUAUGUCGUGGAACACCAAUUGCGAAGGCAGCUAGCUGAGCCUUGAUUGACGCUGAGGCACGAAAGCGUGGGUAGCGAACAG
This 423-nucleotide ribosomal RNA is filed under the name uncultured organism. RNAcentral's name for it is "bacterial SSU rRNA". It matches the Rfam family "Bacterial small subunit ribosomal RNA", at positions 355 to 775 of the family's 1533-position model. The record is from RNAcentral.